This 222-nucleotide ribosomal RNA is filed under the name uncultured bacterium. Its description in RNAcentral is "partial 16S ribosomal RNA". It matches the Rfam family "Bacterial small subunit ribosomal RNA", at positions 111 to 334 of the family's 1533-position model. The record is from RNAcentral.
UAAUAUAUAGUUAACCUGCCCUCAAGAAAGGAAUAACAGUUGGAAACGACUGCUAAUGCCCUAUAUGCCUUUAAUACAUAAGUAUGCAAGGGAAACGCUUUAGUGCUUGAGGAUGGGACUGUAUGGUAUCAGCUUGUUGGUGAGGUAAUGGCUCACCAAGGCUAUGACGCCUAACUGGUUUGAGAGGAUGAUCGGUCACACUGGAACUGAGACACGGUCCAG